Long non-coding RNA from Epinephelus moara (kelp grouper), 855 nucleotides. RefSeq lists it as uncharacterized. The record is from RefSeq and is a predicted model, not a curated record. The transcript has 6 exons. Lineage: Eukaryota; Metazoa; Chordata; Actinopteri; Perciformes; Serranidae.
CAAUACAAGAGAGUGCCACCAGCCACAGGAUAAUAUCUCUGUGUGCUUUGAGAGGGGGAGGGAGGAGGGAAGGAGGGUAGUGGGCCAGGAGGGGUUUCGCCAAUCAAGCGGGCCACACUUCCUCCCCCAGGUUCUAAUUUUGUGCCACAUUAAAGAGCUCGGCCUCCAUUUAGGACACAGAGAGGCAUUUUCAUAAUUUGCCGGGUCUCUCGACUAGCUCGGGGUGCCUUUUUUCCUCUCUCUCCUCCCUCUCUCUCUCACUCCGUGUCUGAAUGGAAGGCCUGGGGAGGAAGAGGGGUAAUUCAUUCGCCUCCUUUCAACCAACCGGCUUCAGUUCUGCAUAAUGUUGCUGCUAGUGAUUACAGGGGCCUGCGGGCCUGGCGGCGGCUCCGUGGCUGGGACAGGGAGCUUCUCCCUGGUGCCGGUUUGUAUUUGCGCACCGGAGCUGCUAGCUGAGUCUGUGUGUCUCUGCUGGACUUCACAACUCUUCACCCAAUAUUGAUAUAUGCCUAGAAAGAUUAGAGAAGGUCAGGAGUGUGGAGCAGCCAGCAGGGGGGCAGUGAUCAACAGACUGGGGCACCCCUGCCGAGGGGCUCUGGGAUUAGGGCUAAACCUUGCCCUGCCAGAUGGGCACAGCACAUCCCCAGCAUUGCACACCAGCACCUUCUUCUGUGGAAACCAGGCGACUGGAACCACGUUGAUACUCACUGGACCACACAGAAUGGCAGCAGGAGAGAGACGACUGAGAUGAGGACCUGGAAUUUCCACGAGGAAGUUUGAUCCUUAUAAUCCAAGCAAUCGGCAUUGAAGUUCAGCUUCCACGACGCCGCUUGGUCCUUAUAAUCCAAGCAGUCU